Molecule: ribosomal RNA, 568 nt
Filed under: Ulva prolifera
Lineage: Eukaryota; Viridiplantae; Chlorophyta; Ulvophyceae; Ulvales; Ulvaceae
Description: eukaryotic LSU rRNA
Rfam family: 5.8S ribosomal RNA (bases 184-338)
Source: RNAcentral
CCAAUCACAGAGCACCUGCGGGCGCUCGCUCCCCUCGGGGGGCGAGGGCCCGCCGUUUACAGGAUCCGCCGGCGCGUGAGCUCCCCUCGGGGGGCGACCGCGCCGGGCCGGAGCCCUAACCCAUUGAACCCUCUGCCCUGAAGCAGCUUCGCACGGGGACACCCCUGCGAUAGUAACUGAGACAACUCUCAACAACGGAUAUCUUGGCUCUCGCAACGAUGAAGAACGCAGCGAAAUGCGAUACGUAGUGUGAAUUGCAGAAUUCCGUGAGUCAUCGAAUCUUUGAACGCACAUUGCCGGUCGACUCUUCGGAGGAGACCACAUCUGCCUCAGCGUCGGAAUACCCCCUCACGCACCCCCGCGUGGACCUGGCCCCCCCGGACGCCUCGGCGCCCGGGCCGGCUGAAAUACAGAGGCUCGCGCGCGGCCCAUUCGUGGCCCCGACUAGGUAGGUAGCUCGCUACUUCUAGGCGGUGGCUCGGUGUCGCGUGCUGUGGGCCCGAAAGGAUACCAAUCCAUUCAUUCGACCUGAGUUCAGGUGAGGCUACCCGCUGAACUUAAGCAUAUC